GCCCCACCUGCAGUGCUGUGCCCAGGCCUGGGGCCCCCAGGACAGGAGGGAUGCGGAGCUGCUGGAGCGGGUCCAGAGGAGGGCACGAGGAUGCUCAGAGGGCUGCAGCACCUCUGCUGUGAAGACAGGCCGAGGGAGCUGGGCUUCUCCCCUACAAGAGGGGAGGCGUUGGUUAGAUGUGAAGGCAGUGAGGCGCUGUCACUGCUGCCCAGAGAGCUGUGGGUGCCCCAUCCCUGCAGGCACUCAAGGCCAGGUGGGAUGGGGCCCUGGGCAGCCUGAGCUGGUGGGGGGCAGCCCUGCCCAUGGCCGGGGGUGGCACUUAAUGAUCUUUGAGGUCCCUUCCAAUCUAAGUGGUGCUAUGAUAAUCCUCGCCUCCUUUCCAGUCCGUCCUCAUCUCUGUUCUUCCCUCUAUGCUCUUUUCACUGCAUCUUCCUUCUCUCCCUGCCUUCCUCAGGUGUAAACUAUUCCAGCUUCCAACUCCUUUGCUCAUACUUGGCUUCUAUGAUUACACUUGCAUACCCAAAGCAGUAAAAAUAUUUUUCUGACAGCCUGAGAAAUUAUGCCCAUAACUGCAAGUGGAGCCCCUUCUUCCAAACAUUGCUAACAACUUUUCUGUGGUCCAGCAGUUCCCAUUCAAAAUGUCUUAUUUCUCUGUGGAAAUAAAUGGGUUAAGAAAACAACGUGGAGAGGAAUUAGUGCCGCGCAGUGAAGUGCUGGCCUUUCCCAGAGCCUCAAUGAAAGGCCCUUUCAGAGCCAUUUAGCCUCUGAUCAGUGGAGGGACCGUGUGACCCAAGGGACAAGGGGCUCUGCAGCUGUCUACACCUUUUUUGCUUUGGGUCAGCUUACGGUUCUUAAUUAUUUUUCUGAUGAAGAAAAAGGAAAAAAUCAGCCUGGUAAAUAACGUUCCUUUCCCCACCAAGUGCUUAAGAGAAAAGGAGAUGACACAAGCACUGCUCGAAGAGCCUUAUCCUAAUCUUUAAUGACAUAUCAAGCUAGCAGCAAGCAGAGGAGG
This 1012-nucleotide long non-coding RNA is filed under the name Gallus gallus (chicken). RNAcentral's name for it is "lncRNA (ENSGALG00010026139.1)". Lineage: Eukaryota; Metazoa; Chordata; Aves; Galliformes; Phasianidae. The record is from RNAcentral.